Molecule: transfer RNA, 81 nt
Organism: Paramecium tetraurelia
Lineage: Eukaryota; Ciliophora; Oligohymenophorea; Peniculida; Parameciidae
Rfam family: tRNA
About the family: Transfer RNA (tRNA) molecules are approximately 80 nucleotides in length. Their secondary structure includes four short double-helical elements and three loops (D, anti-codon, and T loops).
Source: Rfam
GUCAGCUUGGCCGAGUGGUUAUGGCGGUAGAUUAGAAAUCUAUUGGGUUUACCCGCGCAGGUUCGAAUCCUGCAGUUGACG